UAGGGAAUCUUCGGCAAUGGACGAAAGUCUGACCGAGCAACGCCGCGUGAGUGAAGAAGGUUUUCGGAUCGUAAAACUCUGUUGUUAGAGAAGAACAAGGACGUUAGUAACUGAACGUCCCCUGACGGUAUCUAACGAGAAAGCCACGGCUAACUACGUGCCAGCAGCCGCGGUAAUAAGUAGGUGGCAAGCGUUGUCCGGAUUUAUUGGGCGUAAAGCGAGCGCAGGCGGUUUCUUAAGUCUGAUGUGAAAGCCCCCGGCUCAACCGGGGAAGGUCAUUGGAAACUGGGAGACUUGAGUGCAGAAGAGGAGAGUGGAAUUCCAUGUGUAGCGGUGAAAUGCGUAGAUAUAUGGAGGAACACCAGUGGCGAAGGCGGCUCUCUGGUCUGUAACUGACGCUGAGGCUCGAAAGCGUGGGGAGCAAACAGG
This 429-nucleotide ribosomal RNA is filed under the name Gemmatimonadota bacterium. RNAcentral describes it as "Gemmatimonadetes bacterium partial 16S ribosomal RNA". It matches the Rfam family "Bacterial small subunit ribosomal RNA", at positions 355 to 776 of the family's 1533-position model. The record is from RNAcentral. Lineage: Bacteria; Pseudomonadati; Gemmatimonadota.